CAACAAUGUUUGAAUUUGAAAAAGAAACAGAUUAUUCAAAUUCAUUUCCCUGGUUAGGGCUGGGCUUUACAAUGGGAUUUUCAGCUGUGGAGCUAUAAAGAAUUACUACAUAGGGUUUCCAAUGUAGUUUUGUGUACAGAAUCCAGAAAUAAGAAGAGAAAAGACAAUGCAGAUGCAGCAUUAGAAUUACCAACUACUUAUCACUGCUGAGGAAAUGGUACCUGAUUUGAGUACUACUCUUGCGUAUUUGGAGACAGUCCAGUUGUUCUUUAAACCAGAAGUGGAAAUUUCAGUGCUUGUUAAAUUUUCUCCAGAAGUUAUUGGAUGAUACAUUGGAAGAAAAUGGGAUCAUACUGAACAAAAUAGUUUGGACACACCUUAUAGAUUUUGAAAGAUUGAGACCUCAAGAUCAACCCAAAUAAUAUUUAAUAUGUAUCAGGGUUCACUUGCAAGAAUACACAGAAAUUCAGAGUAAAUUUUAAGUGUUUGUUAUCUUAGAGAAGAUCAAAGUUCAAGGUCAGCAGUGCUUUAGUUUUACCAAAUAUAAAACUGUUAUAAAGACUAAUUUCCUGUAUACAGUUAUAGCAAAUAAUUCAGAAUAUGAUUUGGGGAAACCAUGAUUUUUUUCUUUUAAAUCUUACCUUAAUUUAGAACCAUGAUGUAUACUUAAGCAAGUAGAUUUUUUUCAAGCAUACAAAAUUUCAAGGUCAUUUUAAUUUUGGAAGUGAAUAUAACAUAUCAGGAAGCAGUCAAGCAUUGUAAUUUAUUUGUUGUUGAAUGUACUUAGUUAUUGAGUAAUAUUCAAAUUUUAAUAU
Molecule: long non-coding RNA, 815 nt
Organism: Saccostrea cuccullata (small rock oyster)
Lineage: Eukaryota; Metazoa; Mollusca; Bivalvia; Ostreida; Ostreidae
Exons: 3
Source: RefSeq, a predicted model, not a curated record